AUUGAAUCUAAGUGAUGAGUGUAUGAGGGUUCAUUGUACUUUUCCCUCUGCUUUUGUAUAUGUUUGAAAUUUUUCAUAAUAAAAAUUUUUAAAUAAAUAUAAGUGACUGCUUUAGCCCCAAUUUUCUAGAAAACAGUGCUUAAGAGAAAGUGCAUGAGCUAAAAUUGUAUUGGGGUAGGGGGUGGCAGGUGCAGUCCUAGAAAAGCGAGAGUGAGGGGAGAGAGGGAGUGAGGUAAGGACAGAGGGAAGGAAAAUACAGAUGGUUUGUCACAAGCUGGCUAAGGCUUCACAGGAUGUACAGUUGGCUGCUUGGUCCCAGGGGACGUCUCAAGAAGGCUGGAUGAAACCACCACAUAACAGAGCUGUCCUUCAGGAGGGGAACAGGCAGUCCCCCUGUUGAGACAUAGCAGGAGGGCCAGGGGAUUUUGUUUGUUCAGCCUCCCACUGAGCCCCACCAACACCACCCAGGCAAAAGUGGACAAUUCACUCACUCACUCUGCCCAGAUGUCAGCAGUCUAGUUGCUGCCAGUUGUGGAUGUACAGCUCAUUGGACCCUGCUGACACUAUCCUGGUGAGGAAUUGAGGAAGACCUGCUUCUGCCAGACAGGGGAUGGAAGAGCAGCAACCCCCUCAACCAGUCAACACCAACCUGGGUGGAAUCAAAGUGCUGCUGUCUGUUUCCAAAAAAGAAAUGCCAGGAAGAUAUGAAUUGUUGUGGAAUAUUCCAACAUGAAAUCAAAAAUUGAUCUAAAAUCAGAAGUAUCGAAAGCAAUAUCAAUUUCCAAAAUCAAGGCACUCUGACGCAGGGAAAUCACAAUGUAGGGUUAAACAACCUGAGAACGUUCAGCCUAUGGAAGAAACGCCUUAGAUGUAUUUUCUGUACUUCCCAGCCACAUGAUAGGUGGAAGAUAUUUACGCCAAAGCUCCCUAAUUUACAUCUCUAUCAUUCAAAAGACCAGCCCCAAAUGAUGGGCUGCCUCAAUUAUUUUGGGCUUUAUGGUGCCAAUUCAUCAUAUCAUUCUCCCUUCUGAUUCCUAAGUCAACUGAUAAAUAACCACAGUAAAAGUGGAUUGGAGAAUGUGACUUGGACUUGGGGCAAAAAUGGAAUUUUCUACAACUUUUUGCUUGAAUUGAACUCACUCAGUCACAGGCAGAUUAUCAAGCAAUGGCAUUUCUUCCAUCUCAGGAGCAGGCCUGACCUGGAAGAUUAUCCCUGAGCUAACAUGUGCUGCCAAUCCUCCUCUUUUUUCUGAGGAAGACUGGCCCUGAACUAACAUCCGUGCCCAUCUUCCUCCACUUUAUAUGUGGGAUGCCUACUACAGUAUGGCUUGCCAAGCAGUGCCAUGUCUGCAACCAGGAUCCGGACUGGCGAACCCAGGGCCGCCGAAGUGAAAUGUGCACACUUAACCAUUGCACCACUGGGCCAAACCCUACAAAGAUAUUCUUGAUAUUAAGGUCCAACUACCCCAUGUUCAAAUGCAAAUACACAUACAUACCCACUCAUAUAUGCUGUGCAGUGAAGGGAUUACCCAGAGUAAUGGAUGGAUGAUCCAUUACACACAAAAGCAAUGUCUUGGAGCCACUGCUCUUCUUGUAUACAAUUUCCAGGUGACGUCCACUUCCUCGUCUAAUCCAGUUUUAAUUUAGUCCUCAUAUUCUUAUGAUUUAUGGAUUACAUUACAAAUUUAACCACUCCUGGUAUAUCUAGUAUACAGUGCUGGAGGGAAAUACCCAUGUAGAGAGGUAACAAAAGGAGAAAAAACACACAACGGUCACUCAUUCAGAACAUAUGGUUUAUUCUGCUAGGCAGUGACUUGCAUGGGCAUAAUUUUGACUUAAUCCUUUGGAAAAUUUCUCAGGGAUCCAAUAGUGAACUUCCAGUUGGUGUUACUAUCUUUUGGAUUGAAUCUGAAGAUUUCCUAAGAGCUGAGUCUCCAUUCCCUUCUGGUUUGAGUAAAAGGCGUGGACCCCUUUUACCAGGUUUAGUUUUUUUAUUGGUGCUUCAACUCCUAUAAAGCCUCAUUGGCUGGCUAUCACAUUCAUUUUGGAUUCCCUUCUCUAAAAUCCAACAUCACAAAUCUUGUUAGGUCAUGCUCUGAAAAUUUUCAACCUUCUGAACUGAAUAGCCUAGAUUUAACCACUCCACUCAGGCCUCUGUUUUUGAAGCAACUUUGAAGGUUCUACCAUCCCUACAGCCCUCCAGAACAUGGCCUGAGGUGAGGCAGCCAGAAGAGCAGAAUCUCCUUUUUCUAAGCAGCUAUG
Long non-coding RNA from Equus caballus (horse), 2262 nucleotides. NCBI's taxonomy places the organism in Eukaryota, Metazoa, Chordata, Mammalia, Perissodactyla, Equidae. The record is from Ensembl.